CAUGACCGACCCGUCCUUUCCAUAGCAAGCACGAACCGACUUGUUUUCCACCGCCAACCAGGGCAGCCACGCCGGUAUAUAUGGUCUUCCCCCUCGCCCCUCUUCCUCUCUCUCUUCGUCUCGUCACGAUUUCUCCUCGGGGUCCUCUUCGAUUCGUAAGAUAUGAUGAGAUUUUUGCUUCAUCCGUGUUGCUCACUUUGCAACUGGUGGCCUGUGUGCGUAAUUGAUCUUUUGGGUGUGGAGCUGUAACCAUGUACGAUGAUUUCUUCGUUAAUGUCGCCUACAGCCAGACUCCUAAGAUUUUCCUACUAUGCACAGAUGCUUUCCUUCCUUGCAAUGGUGCCAUGAGCAUUCCUUCAUCUAGGAAUCGUGAUGGUGAUGAUGUUUCUUGUUUGAUGAUUGAUGUGCUGCUAAUUAGAUGAUGUAUGUCCAUAUCUCCCAACCAGAAGAUAAGGUAAUGACCUCGGUAAGCUAAUGCACAUGUAUGUGCAUGUUGUAUAAUCAUGUUGUACUAUAUACUAUGUAUGAUGUAUCUAGAUUUAGGGUAGGAAGGCCUUUGCCAUGUUGGGUGCGCUCGCUUGGCAGGCCACAAGACAAUAAAAAGAUAUUUUCCUUGUGUUGUUGGGGUGGAGAUCGCACGGGGAACUAUUCAUUUUAUUUUGCCCCGGGUUCUUCACCCCGACCUGGUGUCCCUGUCUCCACUGUGUUCUCUCUUAUGUCCUGGUGUUCAUGUGGUGCGUGACUGUGCGCUUUCAUGAGUCCUACCAUGCGGAUAAUCACAUGUCGAAGAUCAUCAACGAUACAUCUCAUGGAUAACUACAUGUCGAAGGUACACAUAAUUUACUGCCUUUCAGUCCUUCAUGUGGCUAAAUAUCAAUCAUUGUUAACUUGCUCGAGACGAUACUGCAACUAGCAAUUUCAGCUAAUUUAAACUCAACUAAACUAACUUGUUGCAUUCCACACUGAAAGGUUACUGCCUUUCAGUCCUUCAUGUGGCUAAAAUAUCAUUUAUUGUUAAUUUGCUCGAGACAAUACUGCAACUAGCAAUUUCAGCUAAUUUAAACUCAACUAAACUAACUUGUUGCAUUCCAAACUGAAUACGGUCGGUCUUACUGUCAUGCUUAGGUUGUACUUUUGUCCCCGAUAUAACCUGCAUGUAGCUUAGCUACCAUGCCUUGAGCUAAGAUGAAAAUCUAUAAUAUUAAAUUUGGCCUUAAUUAAGUAGCCUGCCACUUCGCUAGACAACCAUACGUGAUUAGGGCUUAACAUACCAAGUUUUCUAUUCACUCCACAUUUGUAGAUGCUUAAUUGUUUUCAUUUCCUUGCGUCGCCACAAAAGCUAAAUCAUGUAGUAUCUCAAUCGUUCGGUAUUGACUAAUCUCCUGAACUUCAUUGUCGUUUUGCUGAUGUACAUUUGAUUGUUGACUAUUACAAUCACAAAUGUAUGUGGUGUUCAUUUGUCAAGGGGUGCUUCAUUCCAAUUGCUGUUGUAUAUGAGUUUUGUUGUACAAAAAAUGAGCAGUUGCUGGACAGAGCUUGCUGUACAUGCAUGUCCACAGCUGUUAUCAUUUGAGUAUGCUUUCUGUUAGUUCAUCUUUAGCGAGCUGCGGGGAGAAUUUACAUAUCUGAAGCUAGUAUUCAUCAUGAUGCUGCAACCAGCACCAACCUGGCCUUGGAAGGGGACUGGUGUCAUGAUGGAAGAUACAAGGCGAUGUCCUGAUGGUGAGUCUGGCGAAUCUGGAAUUUGUUGAGGAAGACACAAGGCGAAAUGGGUAAUCUUAAAGAAGCUGUUCCUAUGGUUUUUGUGGCAUUGAGGCAGUAAAAUCAUGGGAUCAAAUUCUUCUGGGAAGAUUCUGUUGAUUCAUCUGAAUUUUGUUGUCUUAUUGGGUGUCACAUAAUUGAAGCCUACAUAGAUUUAUGCUAAUAUCUGCUCCUCGUUGCUUGCUGAGGGGGAGGUGAAAGAUCUGCAUAUGUUGGUGAAGUGGUGAUAGCAUGACUGCACGCCUGGUGAUGUAUGAUAAUUAAUUUAAGCUAGUA
Oryza sativa Japonica Group (Japanese rice) is the source of this 2037-nucleotide long non-coding RNA. RefSeq lists it as uncharacterized. The record is from RefSeq and is a predicted model, not a curated record. NCBI's taxonomy places the organism in Eukaryota, Viridiplantae, Streptophyta, Magnoliopsida, Poales, Poaceae.